GACGAGCGGCGGACGGGUGAGUAAUGUCUGGGGAUCUGCCCGAGGGCGGGGGAUAACCACUGGAAACGGUGGCUACUGCAAUGUCGCAAGACCAAAGUGGGGGACCUGAAAGGGCCUCACGCCAUCGGAUGAACCACUCCGCUGGUAGGUAGGGUAAUGGCCUACCUAGGCGACGAUCUCUAGCUGGUCUGAGAGGAUGACCAGCCACACUGGGACUGAGACACGGCCCAGACUCCUACGGGAGGCAGCAGUGGGGAAUAUUGCACAAACUACCUGAUGCAGCCAUCCGCGUGUAUGAAGAAGGCCUUCGGGUUGUAAAGUACUUUCAGCGGGGAGGAAGGGUUUAGCCUGAACAGGCGGGAUUUUGACGUUACCCGCAGAAGAAGCACCGGCUAACUCCGUGCCAGCAGCCGCGGUAAUACGGAGGGUGAAGCGUUAAUCGGAAUUACUGGGCGUAAAGCGCACGCAGGCGGUCAAUUAAGUUAGAUGUGAAAUCCCCGGGACUUAGCCUGGGAAUGGCAUCUAAGACUGGUUGGCUGGAGUCUCGUAGAGGGGGGUAGAAUUCCAUGUGUAGCGGUGAAAUGCGUAGAGAUGUGGAGGUGCGAAGGCGGCCCCCUGGACGAAGACUGACGCUCAGGUGCGAAAGCGUGGGGAGCAAACAGGAUUAGAUCUAGUCCACGCUGUAAACGAUGUCGAUUUGGAGGUUGUGGCCUUGAGCUGUGGCUUCCGAAGCUAACGCGUUAAUCGACCGCCUGGGGAGUACGGCCGCAAGGUUAAAACUCAAAUGAAUUGACGGGGGCCCG
Molecule: ribosomal RNA, 803 nt
Filed under: Photorhabdus luminescens
Lineage: Bacteria; Pseudomonadati; Pseudomonadota; Gammaproteobacteria; Enterobacterales; Morganellaceae
Description: bacterial SSU rRNA
Rfam family: Bacterial small subunit ribosomal RNA
Source: RNAcentral